This 254-nucleotide ribosomal RNA is filed under the name uncultured bacterium. RNAcentral's name for it is "partial 16S ribosomal RNA". It matches the Rfam family "Bacterial small subunit ribosomal RNA", at positions 524 to 777 of the family's 1533-position model. The record is from RNAcentral.
UACGAAGGGGGCUAGCGUUGCUCGGAAUCACUGGGCGUAAAGCGCACGUAGGCGGAUUGCUAAGUCAGGGGUGAAAUCCUGGAGCUCAACUCCAGAACUGCCUUUGAUACUGGCAACCUUGAGUCCGGGAGAGGUGAGUGGAACUGCGAGUGUAGAGGUGAAAUUCGUAGAUAUUCGCAAGAACACCAGUGGCGAAGGCGGCUCACUGGCCCGAUACUGACGCUGAGGCACGAAAGCGUGGGGAGCAAACAGGG